RNAcentral lists this ribosomal RNA (25 nucleotides) under Ramaria cf. gracilis AGK 018. RNAcentral's name for it is "partial 18S ribosomal RNA". Lineage: Eukaryota; Fungi; Basidiomycota; Agaricomycetes; Gomphales; Gomphaceae. The record is from RNAcentral.
CCCUCAGGGACUGCGGAGGACAUUA